UACGAAGGGGGCUAGCGUUGCUCGGAAUCACUGGGCGUAAAGCGCACGUAGGCGGACUCUUAAGUCGGUGGUGAAAUCCUGGAGCUCAACUCCAGAACUGCCUUCGAUACUGAGAGUCUCGAGUCCGGGAGAGGUGAGUGGAACUGCGAGUGUAGAGGUGAAAUUCGUAGAUAUUCGCAGGAACACCAGUGGCGAAGGCGGCUUACUGGUCCAUAACUGACGCUGAGGUGCGAAAGCGUGGGGAGCAAACAGG
RNAcentral lists this ribosomal RNA (253 nucleotides) under uncultured bacterium. RNAcentral's name for it is "partial 16S ribosomal RNA". It matches the Rfam family "Bacterial small subunit ribosomal RNA", at positions 524 to 776 of the family's 1533-position model. The record is from RNAcentral.